UGGGGAAUAUUGCACAAUGGGCGCAAGCCUGAUGCAGCAACGCCGCGUGAGGGACGACGGCCUUCGGGUUGUAAACCUCUUUUAGUAGGGAAGAAGCGAAAGUGACGGUACCUGCAGAAAAAGCACCGGCUAACUACGUGCCAGCAGCCGCGGUAAUACGUAGGGUGCAAGCGUUGUCCGGAAUUAUUGGGCGUAAAGAGCUCGUAGGCGGUUUGUCGCGUCUGCUGUGAAAAACCCGAGGCUCAACCUCGGGCCUGCAGUGGGUACGGGCAGACUAGAGUGCGGUAGGGGAGAAUGGAAUUCCUGGUGUAGCGGUGGAAUGCGCAGAUAUCAGGAGGAACACCGAUGGCGAAGGCAGUUCUCUGGGCCGUAACUGACGCUGAGGAGCGAAAGCGUGGGGAGCGAACAGGAUUAGAUACCCUGGUAGUCCACGCCGUAAACGUUGGGCGCUAGAUGUGGGGACCAUUCCACGGUUUCCGUGUCGCAGCUAACGCAUUAAGCGCCCCGCCUGGGGAGUACGGCCGCAAGGCUAAAACUCAAAUGAAUUGACGGGGUCAUAGCUGUUU
This 566-nucleotide ribosomal RNA is filed under the name uncultured bacterium. RNAcentral's name for it is "partial 16S ribosomal RNA". It matches the Rfam family "Bacterial small subunit ribosomal RNA", at positions 355 to 935 of the family's 1533-position model. The record is from RNAcentral.